RNAcentral lists this unclassified non-coding RNA (240 nucleotides) under soil metagenome. RNAcentral's name for it is "partial contains 5.8S ribosomal RNA, internal transcribed spacer 2, and large subunit ribosomal RNA". The record is from RNAcentral.
AAGACUAUAGACCUGCGGAGUACCUGCGGAAGGAUCAUUACAUGGCGGAGGAGGUGGGCACCUAGUAAAACAAAACCCUAGGUGUGUUGCCUACCACGCUUUCUACCCUUGUCUAUUUGCACCUUUUGUCGUUCCCUCGGUGGGUCUUGAACCUGCCGGCGGCAACUUUCAAAAACCUUUUGUAGUUAGUAUCUAAUUCUUCUGAUCAAAUAUUCAAUCGUUACAACUUUCAGCAACGGA